This 1030-nucleotide ribosomal RNA is filed under the name bacterium. RNAcentral's name for it is "partial 16S ribosomal RNA". It matches the Rfam family "Bacterial small subunit ribosomal RNA", at positions 49 to 1053 of the family's 1533-position model. The record is from RNAcentral.
UAAUACUGCAAGUCGAGCGGACAGAUGGGAGCUUGCUCCCUGAUGUUAGCGGCGGACGGGUGAGUAACACGUGGGUAACCUGCCUGUGAGACUGGGAUAACUCCGGGAAACCGGAGCUAAUACCGGAUGNUUGCUUGAACCGCAUGGUUCAAAGAUGAAAGAUGGCUUCGGCUGUCACUUACAGAUGGACCCGCGGCGCAUUAGCUAGUUGGUGAGGUAAUGGCUCACCAAGGCGACGAUGCGUAGCCGACCUGAGAGGGGGAUCGGCCACACUGGGACUGAGACACGGCCCACACUCCUACGGGAGGCAGCAGUAGGGAAUCUUCCGCAAUGGACGAAAGUCUGACAGAGCAACGCCGCGUGAGUGAUGAAGGUUUUCGGAUCGUAAAGCUCUGUUGUUAUGGAAGAACAAGUGNNNGACGAACAGCGCGCGCCCUUNNNGGGACCUAACCCAAAAGCCCCGGGUAAUAAGUGGCCACAAACCCGGGGAAACCCUAGGGGGCAAAGGUUUUCCGGAAUUUUUGGGGGUAAAGGGUCCCCAGGGGGUUUCUUAAGCCGAAGGGGAAAGCCCCCGGCUCACCCGGGGAGGGGCAUUGGAAACUGGGGAACUUGAUGGCAAAAAAAGAAAAGGGAAUUCCCCGGGUACCGGGGAAAUGNNUAAAAAUGGGGAGGAACCCCAUUGGGGAAAGGGAACUUUUUGGGCGGGAACUGACCCUGAGGAACGAAAACCUGGGGGAGNAACNNGGAUUAAAAACCCCGGGAGUCCCCCCCGAAAACAAAGAAGGCUAAAGGUUAAGGGGGUUCCCCCCCUUAAGGGGGGGNCUAACGCAUUAAGCACUCCCCCCGGGGGAGAAGGGCCCCAAAACUGAAACNCAAAGGAAUGGACGGGGGCCCCCCAAACCGGGGGAGAAAUGGGGUUUAUUUCUAAGCAACCGGGAAAAACCUUUCCAGGGUUGGAAACCCUUUGGAAAACCUAAAAAAAAGGGGGUUCCCCUUUCGGGGGCAAAAGGAAAAGGGGGGAAAGGGUGUU